Molecule: long non-coding RNA, 1504 nt
Organism: Seriola aureovittata
Lineage: Eukaryota; Metazoa; Chordata; Actinopteri; Carangiformes; Carangidae
Exons: 3
Source: RefSeq, a predicted model, not a curated record
GCCCGAGAAGUUUGAUAAAGUUGCGGUAAAGUCUCUGGAUAGAGUUUAAAGCGGUGAAUGUCUGAAUGGUUGGUUGGUGUGACUCGGUUCGACCCCGGGGACGGACGCUCCCUCUGCCGGGGAACAUGUCUACAGUCCUCGGUCUCAGAGCGCCGGGGAACCGGAGACACACCGCGGCGGCGGAGGACUAGAUCUCCGGGAGAACGAGGAGGAGCCUGACCGUGUCCGAGAGCAACAAGCUCGGUCAGUGUCAGCCCCAGAGUCCGGUCACACAGAGCAGAUGUUCAGCAUCAGCUGGUGAUUGAAGAAGAGGUUUCCCCUGGUUGACCCAGAGAGCCCACACAUUAAAGAGGACCAGGAGGAACUCUGGACCAAUCAGGAGGGAGAGCAGCUUGAAGGGCUGGAGGAGGCUGAUAACACAAGAUCCCACUGACUCCUGUUGAUAUGAAGAGCCGGACUGAGGAGAGCAGAGAGGCAGAAGCUGAUGGAGGAUCUGGACUUCGAUCUUGAAGCAGGUACCGCUGGACCCCAGACUCCUCUGAGCCUGAGGACGGUGAGGAAGACCACAACACCUGAGACAGGUUUGACAGGAAAUGAAGUCCACGUUAGUGACACAGGAUGUGAUGCUGGUGAGCUCUCAGCUGCUCUGAUCUGCUGAUGCGUUAAAAUCCAACCGGAGUGAAACCAUUUACUUUCAGCUGUUGUGGGAACAGAUUUACGCAGCAGGAGCGUCGCAGGAGGAAACUGUGACCAUCAGGGGCAUCUGAAAAGCUUUAUGUUAGCUUUAGCUUUAGCUUUAGGCAACAGGAGGAUCUCAGGGAGCAUGAGGGGGUCCAUGUGGGGGAGGAAGCAGGUGUUUGUGAUGUUUGAGGAACAGAUUUAAGAGUCUGUGUGAGAGAGAAGCAGCUGUUCGUGGUGAAAGGUUCAGUAACAGACGUGAAGACGAGCGCGACGCCUGCAGCACCAACUGCAGCUGAACUCCAGCAGCUCGUUACAGCAAAGUUCAAACGAGAGCAGACGUCGAAUUUACAGCUGAGGUGUGUGCCGCAGCCGUGCCGUCAUUGGUGGAAAGGCUCUGCGCCCUGGUCGGUGAUUGGCUGCAGCCCCUGGUCACCUGAUAUAUAAGGAGCCAAGAUGGCCGCCGGCUCGUCGUCUCAUUCUCCUCUUCUCCCAGCCGGCCACUCUGUUGCAGUGACUCAGCUUUGUGUAGUUCUUAGGUUGGUUUGAAUAGUAAGUGAGCUGCCAGUUUUGUUUCUCAGGUUUUCUCCUGUUUAUCUAGUUAGGCAGGUGAGUUUGUUGUCAUUUGUUUUCCUUUGGUUAGAUUAGUUGUUUACUUUCCAGACAGGGUUAUCAUGUUUAUUAUGUUGACCUUCGUCCACCCUGAAGCCUAAACUCAGUAUUUAUUUUCUCUGUUCACUUAAAACCUUUAUGUAAAUAAAUCACUUUGGUUAUAUUUAAACUAAUCUUUGUUGUGGCUACUUGGGACUUGGGGAAGAUGGAGCCA